Molecule: RNA transcript, 1784 nt
Organism: Phalaenopsis equestris
Lineage: Eukaryota; Viridiplantae; Streptophyta; Magnoliopsida; Asparagales; Orchidaceae
Exons: 6
Source: RefSeq, a predicted model, not a curated record
UUGAGCCACAGCGCUAAGAAGGCCCAAUGCUCGUUGCCCAGCUCUCUGCCAAGGAGAUAAAGCUGUGUGGGCUUACCUUCCCAAUCUCUUGUCUCUGAAAUCUGUACACAAACAAUCUCUCUCUCUCUCUCUCUCUCUCUCUCUCUCUCUCUCCUGGUAAGUGUGGAAGGAAGAAGGAUGCCCAGGCCAGGACCGAGGCCUUACGAGUGCGUGAGAAGAGUAUGGCACAGCGACCGGCAUCAGCCCAUCAGAGGGUCACUCAUCCAAGAGAUCUUCAGGUUGGCGAAUGAGGUGCACUGCAACGCCACCAGGAAGAACAAGGAAUGGCAGGAGAAGCUCCCUUUUGUAGUUUUAAAGGCCGAGGAGAUCAUGUACUCCAAAGCUAACUCGGAGGCAGAGUACAUGGAUUUGAAGACUCUGUGGGACAGAGCUAAUGAUGCCAUUGACACCAUAAUUCGCAAGGAUGAUGCCAAUGAGAGUGGAGAUCUUCUUCAGCCCUGCAUUGAAGCUGCUCUCAAUCUGGGCUGCAUUCCUCGGAGAGCAUCGAGGAGCCAGCGGCACAGCAAUCCAGUCUCUUAUCUGAGCCCCAACUCGAAAGAACUAACCGAUGUCUCUCAAAAGCCUCAAGACGACAGCAAAACUAAUCAACUUUGUUCAAAAAGUAUGUUACCACCACUCAUGCCAGGGCAGUCCAGCAAUCUCCAUGGCUCUGCAACUCAAGUCAGAUCAAAGAACUCAGCUGCAGGGCCGGAGAUUCAGUUUAUGCCAUCUACCGCUUCGAAAGGCCAAAACCCCUUCUUGGAAAUUCCAAAUAAGGACUUAGCAUGCAAAGCUAGAGGCUUUCCCGUCCCAGUGGAUUUGGGUUUUGUAUACCCUCUGUAUUAUGGAGAUGGACAUCAUUCUCUCCCCACACUUCAGUCACAGCCACAUGUGAACCCUCAGGAACUUAGAGAAACGAAGCCUUCUGUUCAAUGUAAUGGGAUGGCCUUCAUUAUCCGCAACAUUUCAGAAGGUUUAGAUGGAAUCGCUGAUUGUGACAAGACGAGCAAGCUUGCACCGGGCACUGAGUGCGACCUUUCGUUGCGCCUCGGCCUACCUUCACCCCCAAGCUCAGAUUUCGAGAGUGCCUGGGCCCGUGAAGUUGAGGAUGUGGGAUCAAGUAGCUCUUGCGAUGGAGCCAAAUCCUGGGGCGCACUUCGGAAUGUAGCUGGGGCCAUGAACAUUGAAAGAUCACUUUCGUCAGCGAGAGAUAAGUGGUUUGAUUUCUUCUCGGUGGAGAAUGUCGACGAACACUACGAGUCCUGCACAAGUAAGCAGAGCUCACGGGGUGAUUGUGCAUUUACGUGAAUGCCUAUGGUAAAAAUGAAUAGUUUUAUACUUCUGGUGCGUUAACUGAUGAUGGCUUCAGCUGGAAGCCGUAAGGAUCAGCGAUUUUAGAACUGUUUCGUCGCCUGCUUGGGAUGAAAGAGAUGAUGGAGAGACAGAUAUGGAUCCCAAGCAUCGGGGGGUUUUGUAAUAAUGUCUUAUUUUCAACUCAAUUAUUGGCUUCUACAUCGCCUUUAGAUAUAUAUAUAUAUACACGUUUUACCCGCUGCUGUCUAGCAGCAUGACCAACAUUUUAUCAAGUGCUGUAAAAGUGCAAUUUGUAUGGGAUCUUAUGCGCUGUAUCAAAUGUGGGGGUGAAUUUACAUACAUAUCACAUAAUUCUUAUGUAUUUCUAUUGCUAUCACCCAGACUUGAAUAUGUACACUUAUAACCUUUGGUGGCAGACACCUUUGCAUGAA